CUGAAGAAAUGCUUCACAUAAUCAGAGUAGAGAAUGUUCUUAUAUUUGGGCUUCUCUCCGGCGGCGAUCAAUUCAGGCAAAGGACCGAUCACAUCAUUUGGCUUUGGAUUUACGAAAAUGGGGAUUGAAAUUCUGUUCUUGCUCCCACUUGCAAUCACACAGUGCUCUACGCUCUUGUAUCGACCGUUGCUCAGUAUCUGCAA
This 203-nucleotide unclassified non-coding RNA is filed under the name Hevea brasiliensis (rubber tree). The record is from RNAcentral. Lineage: Eukaryota; Viridiplantae; Streptophyta; Magnoliopsida; Malpighiales; Euphorbiaceae.